CCUACGGGCGGCAGCAGUGAGGAAUAUUGGUCAAUGGACGCAAGUCUGAACCAGCCAUGCCGCGUGCAGGAAGACGGAUCUAUGAGUUGUAAACUGCUUUUGUACGAGGGUAAACGCAGAUACGCGUCUCUGUCUGAAAGUAUCGUACGAAUAAGGAUCGGCUAACUCCGUGCACGCAGCCGCGGUAAUACAGAGGAGUCAAGCGUUAUCCGGAUUUAGUGGGUUUAAAGGGUGCGUAGGCGGUCGGAUAAGUUAGAGGUGAAAUACCGAGGCGAAACUUCGGAAUUGCCUCUGAUACUGUUCGGCUAGAGAGUAGUUGCGGUAGGCGGAAUGUAUGGUGUAGCGGUGAAAUGCUUAGAGAUCAUACAGAACACCGAUUGCGAAGGCAGCUUACCAAGCUACUUCUGACGUUGAGGCACGAAAGCGUGGGGAGCAAACAGGAUUAGAUACCCGGGUAGUC
Molecule: ribosomal RNA, 460 nt
Filed under: uncultured bacterium
Lineage: Bacteria
Description: partial 16S ribosomal RNA
Rfam family: Bacterial small subunit ribosomal RNA
Source: RNAcentral